AUGAAAUCCGGUUGAUCCUGCCGGAGGCGACCGCUAUUGGAGUUCGAUUAAGCCAUGCGAGUCUAGAGGCUUAGGCCUCGGCGUACCGCUCAGUAACACGUGGAUAACCUGCCCUGUUCAGGGGGAUAACCUCGCGAAAGUGAGAAUAAUACCCCAUAGUUCACCAUGCCUGGAACGGUUGGUGGAUGAAAGCUCUGGCGGAACAGGAUGGGUCUGCGGCGUAUCAGGUAGUAGGGGGUGUAAUGGACCUCCUAGCCCUCGACGCGUACGGGUUGUGGGAGCAAUCGCCCGGAGAUGGAUUCUGAGACACGAAUCCAGACCCUACGGGGUGCAGCAGGCGCGAAAACUUGACAAUGCGAGAAAUCGUGAUCAGGGAACUCCAAUUGUCCCCGUUUUUACGGGGUUCUGAAUUGACUCUAAACAGGUCGAGUAAUAGGGGCGGGAAAUAUCGGUGCCAGCCGCCGCGGUAAUACCGAAGCCCCAAGUGGUCGUCGUUCUUAUUGGGCCUAAAACGUCCGUAGCCGGUUUGGUACAUUCGUGGGUAAAUCAGACAGCUUAACUGUCUGAAUUCUGCGAGCACGGCCAAACUUGAGACCGGGAGAGGUGUAGGGUACCUGCGGGGUAGGGGUAAAAUCCUGUCAUCCCGUAGGGACCACCAGUUGCGAAGGCUCUACACUAGAACGGAUCUGACGGUCAGGGACGAAGCCUAGGGGCACGAACCGGAUUAGAUACCCGGGUAGUCC
This 743-nucleotide ribosomal RNA is filed under the name Candidatus Poseidoniales archaeon. RNAcentral's name for it is "bacterial SSU rRNA". It matches the Rfam family "Archaeal small subunit ribosomal RNA", at positions 1 to 747 of the family's 1478-position model. Lineage: Archaea; Methanobacteriati; Thermoplasmatota; Candidatus Poseidoniia; Candidatus Poseidoniales. The record is from RNAcentral.